This 2451-nucleotide ribosomal RNA is filed under the name Ircinia sp. LCJ03. Its description in RNAcentral is "bacterial LSU rRNA". The stretch from base 479 to 2176 matches the Rfam family "Bacterial large subunit ribosomal RNA". The record is from RNAcentral. Lineage: Eukaryota; Metazoa; Porifera; Demospongiae; Dictyoceratida; Irciniidae.
AUGCAAAAAAAUAGGGAUUUAUUCAUGUGACAAACAAUAAUAAUAUUAUUUGAUAAACAACAAGAAAUUAAAAAUAAUAUUGAUAUUAUUUUGUUUAUAAUUGUUUUGGUUUAUAGUUACAGGUUUGGGUUUUUAAGUAAAUUCAUUAGUAUAAAAGAAGACAAAAGGAGACUAGGGGCCAGUUUGUUAAAAAAAUAAAAUUUAGAGAGUUUUUGACUUUUAUAAGAAAGCUUAAGUAAAGAUUUGAAGUUUUGAAAGGGAAACAUCCGGCACUAAAAAAUAUUAAUUGGUCGGCAAAGUUAGUAGUGGAGAGCGAGGGCUUUGUAUUUAAGUUUAUUAAGAGAGCAAUAUAAAGUAUUUUGUUUACUAAUAAAAUAAAAUUUAUUAAUAAGCGGGAAGACCGCAGCUUGUUUUUUGUUUAUUCUUAUAUAAAUAAUAUUGGUUUAUAGUAAAUAGGCCACCGAUAGAGAAGAGUACUGUGAAGGAAAGUUAAAAAUUUUGUCUUUAAAGCAGAUAUUGUUAUCGUACCUUUUGUAUAAGGGGUUUGUAAGAAGUUUUUAGCGAGGCGAGAGCCGUAAUGAGAGUGAGUUUUCUGUAGUUAAAAAUCCCGAAACUAAGUGAUCUAAUUAUGGGCAGCCUGAAGUUAUAUGGGAGUAUAAUGGAGGGGCGAACUGGUAACUGUGGCAAAAGUUUCAGAUGACCUAUAGUUGGUGGUGAGAGACUAAUCGAACUUAGAAAUAGCUGGUUUUCUACGAAAUUUAUUUCAGUAAAGUGAAAAUUUAAAUAAAUCUUAUUUAUGGAGAGUAUAUUUUAUAUUUUCAAUGAGAGUGGGGGCGUAAAGUUGUUGCUCGAGAGGGGAAAAGCCCGGAUAUUAGCUAAAGGCGUGAAAAAAUUUUAAGUGCAAAAGGGGGAUUAAUUUAGAUAAAAAGAAAGUGGGCUUGGAAGUAGCCAUCUUAUAGAGAGUGUGUAAUUACAUAAUUUUCAAGUUAUGGCCCUUGAAAAUGUGGGCGACUUAAAAAAGUAUUAAAGCUAUGGGUAUUUAAUAUGGAUUUAUUCAUAUUAGGCAAAAUUUAGGUAGUAGAAUAUACUGUAUUGGAUAAUGAAAAUAGAUCAGUAGAAAUAAUGCAAACAUGAGUAAAAAAUACCUGGGGGCAGUCUACAAAAGUUGUAAAAAUUAAUAGGCGGCAGGAAAAUUUAAUAUUAAGAGAGAUUAUUUGUUUUUUCGCCAAUACAGCAUACUGUACUUAUUAAAAUAAUAAUAGGCUUUCUAUUUUUACUUUUUGUAGUAUAAUUUAAGACUAUCGGGGAUAGUUGAAGAGGAAUGGGGGUUCCGACUGACAAUAGAGGGUAUUUAAAUGAAUGAUUUUAUAUUAAGGAAUUCGGCAAAAUGUUUUUGUAAGAUUACGAGAAGAAAAGAGUUUAAUUAAAAAAACUAUAAAUUUUUGGUUUUGUUAGUUGGUUUAAUUAGACAAAAAUUAGGAGGUGUCGACUGUUUCGCAAAAACAUAGCUUCUAGUAAAGAGUAGAGGUGAGACCUGUCCAGUGACUAUUUCUAAAUAUCGUUUCGAUUAUAAGGGUAGUUAAACGGCCGCGGUAAUUAUGACCGUGUUAAAGUAGCGCAAUCAAUCGCCAAUUAAUUGUUGGCAAGUAUGAAGGUUUCACGAAUGCCUCACUGUCUCAAUAUAAAGUUUAUUGAAAUUGGAAUUUUAGUGAAGAUACUAAGUAGUAAUUGAAAGACGAGAAGACCCCGUGAGCUUUACUGGAGUGUUAGUUAUUAUUAAUACAGACAGUUUAGUUGGGGCGACUCCCCUAUAAAGAGUAACUAGGGGGCUUGUGGGUUAAGAAAUAGUUAAACCUAAGACAAUAAGGGGGCCCUCCCAAAUUGGCAUGUAGUUUUUGGUUUAUCAAAACCUUUUAUAACUUGGUGGGAUAUAUUGAUCCGUAAUUUAUGGAUUACGAGAGCGGCAAAAAGUUACCGCGGGGAUAACAGGGUAAUUUUGUUUGAGAGUUCGUAUCGAAGACGAAGUUUGCUACCUCGAUGUUGAAUUGUGAUAUCCUGAAGGCGCAGGAGUUUUCAAGGGUUGGACUGUUCGUCCAUUAAAAUCGCACAUGAUUUGAGUUCAGACCGGCGUGAGCCAGGUCGGUUUCUAUCUUCAAUUAUUUAAUGUCUUUUAUUUUUUUAGUACGAAAGGAGGAAAAAGAGCUUGUUCUAUGAUUUUUAAUUACGACAAUUAAUUAAUUAUUAAAUACAUAUAUAAGAAAUUUAAAGAGUGUGUUAUUUUAGAUAAAAAUAAUUUAAAUACUAAUAAUGAUAUAAAAUUUAUUAAUAAGCGGGUUUGCCGUUGGUUACAAUAGUUUAUGCUUGUAUAAUGGGCGUUUUCUAUUGUUUAUGUCGGGGUAUGUCUGAAUUAAUGGAUGCUGCAAGAUAUAUAGGAGCAGGUGCCGCAACAAU